CUGGCUCUGCUUAAGAUAGAGGAUGAGCCUGGAGAUGGUCCUGAUGUCAGGGAGGGGACUCUGCCCACUUUUGAUCCCACUAAAGUGCUGGAAGCAGGUGAUGCGCAACCAGAGGUUUACACCAAGACAAAUGAAGACUGAAACGAAGAACGUUAUUGUUAUGCUGGAAAUUUGACUGAUAACAUUCUCUUAAUAAAGUUUUACAGUUUUCUGCAAAGAA
Long non-coding RNA from Piliocolobus tephrosceles (Ugandan red Colobus), 220 nucleotides. RefSeq lists it as uncharacterized. Lineage: Eukaryota; Metazoa; Chordata; Mammalia; Primates; Cercopithecidae. The record is from RefSeq and is a predicted model, not a curated record. The transcript has 2 exons.